ACGAUUAGAAAUGUCCGUAGCGAAAGCUGAGGUGUUGGGGGUUAAAUGACCUGACGUAAGCCAAGGCAUAGCUCGAGAGCGUUCAAGUUCUCGAAGUCACUGGAAGGACGUCCAAGAAAAGCUGCUAAGCUUUGAAUCGUGUGUGACCGUACUAAAACUGACACAGGUAGGUGAGACGAGUAGUCUAAGGCGCUCGGGAGAACGGUGGUUAAGGAACUCUGCAAAAUGACCCCGUAGGUUCGCGAUAAGGGGUGCCUCCGAUGGUUAACGCUGUUGGAGGCCACAGAAAAUCGGCUCUAGCGACUGUUUAUCAAAAACACAGGACUCUGCUAACACGCAAGUGGAUGUAUAGAGUCUGACGCCUGCCCGGUGCCGGUAGGUUAAGGAAGAAGGUUAGCCUCACGGCGAAGCUUGCGACCGAAGCCCCGGUAAACGGCGGCCCUAACUAUGAGGGUCCUAAGGUAGCGAAGUUCCUUGUCGGGUAAGUUCCGACCUGCAUGAAAGGCGUAACGACUGGAGCACUGUCUCAACCACCGACCCGGUGAAAUUGUAGUUGUGGUGAAGAUGCCACAUACCCGCGGUUAGACGGAAAGACCCCAUGAACCUUUACUGUAGGCUGAUAUUGGGUUGAGAUAUGUCUUGUGUAGGAUAGCUGGGAGGCUUUGAACUUGGUACGCCAGUAUCGAGGGAGCCGUCGUUGAAAUACCAGCCUGGUCAUAUUUUAAUUCUAACGUUGAUCCCGUGAAACCGGGCGACGAACAGUGUCAGUUGGGCAGUUUGACUGGGGCGGUCUCCUCCUAAAGAGUAACGGAGGAGUGCAAUGGUACACUCAGCCUGGUCGGUAAUCAGGCGUAGAGAGCAAAGUUAGAAGUGUGCUUGACUGCGAGACAAAUAAGUCGAGCAGGGACGAAAGUCGGUCUUAGUGAUCCGGUAAUCCCGAAUGGAAGGGUUAUCGCUCAUCAGAUAAAAGGUACUCUGGGGAUAACAGGCUUAUCGCAUCCGAGCGUCCACAGCGGCGAUGCGGUUUGGCACCUCGAUGUCGGCUCAUCACAUCCUGGGGGUGUAGAAGCUCCCAAGGGUUUGGCUGUUCGCCAAUGAAAGUGGUACGUGAGCUGGGUUCAGACCGUCGUGAGACAGGUCGGUCCCUAUCUGCCGUGGGCGUUCGAAUCUUGAGGGAAUUCAACUUUAGUACGAGAGGAUUUAGUUGGACGAAGCUCUGGUGUACCAGUUGUCGCGCUAGCGGCACGGCUGGAUAGCUAACUUCGGAACGGAUAAACGCUGAAAGCAUCUAAGCGUGAAGCCCAACCCGAGAUUAGGAUUCGUAGUCUUUAUGACGAGAGCCCCCUGGAAGACAACCAGGUUGAUAGGCUGGACGUGUAAGCACAGUAAUGUGUUGAGCUUACCAGUACUAACGGGCGAAUGAUUGGCCAU
This 1431-nucleotide ribosomal RNA is filed under the name metagenome. RNAcentral describes it as "bacterial LSU rRNA". It matches the Rfam family "Bacterial large subunit ribosomal RNA", at positions 1494 to 2925 of the family's 2925-position model. The record is from RNAcentral.